CUGACCGUAGCUCAGCUGGUUAGAGCGCCAGAUUGUGGCUCUGGAGGUCGCCGGUUCGAUUCCGGUCGGUCAGCCCACAC
Molecule: transfer RNA, 80 nt
Filed under: Symbiobacterium thermophilum IAM 14863
Lineage: Bacteria; Bacillati; Bacillota; Clostridia; Eubacteriales; Symbiobacteriaceae
Description: tRNA-His
Rfam family: tRNA
About the family: Transfer RNA (tRNA) molecules are approximately 80 nucleotides in length. Their secondary structure includes four short double-helical elements and three loops (D, anti-codon, and T loops). Further hydrogen bonds mediate the characteristic L-shaped molecular structure. tRNAs have two regions of fundamental functional importance: the anti-codon, which is responsible for specific mRNA codon recognition, and the 3' end, to which the tRNAs corresponding amino acid is attached (by aminoacyl-tRNA synthetases). tRNAs cope with the degeneracy of the genetic code in two manners: having more than one tRNA (with a specific anti-codon) for a particular amino acid; and 'wobble' base-pairing, i.e. permitting non-standard base-pairing at the 3rd anti-codon position.
Source: RNAcentral